GCCGGAGUGGUGGAACUGGUAGACGCGCCAGACUCAAAAUCUGGUGAUGGCAACAUCGUGAGAGUUCAAGUCUCUCCUCCGGCACCA
This 87-nucleotide transfer RNA is filed under the name Candidatus Berkiella aquae. Its description in RNAcentral is "tRNA-Leu". It matches the Rfam family "tRNA". Rfam says of the family: Transfer RNA (tRNA) molecules are approximately 80 nucleotides in length. Their secondary structure includes four short double-helical elements and three loops (D, anti-codon, and T loops). Lineage: Bacteria; Pseudomonadati; Pseudomonadota; Gammaproteobacteria; Candidatus Berkiellales; Candidatus Berkiellaceae. The record is from RNAcentral.